AGCGAACGCUGGCGGCAGGCUUAACACAUGCAAGUCGAACGGGUAUCUUCGGAUACUAGUGGCAGACGGGUGAGUAACACGUGGGAACGUACCUUCGGUUCGGAAUAAUACAGGGAAACUUGUACUAAUACCGGAUACGCCCUUCGGGGGAAAGAUUUAUCGCCGAUAGAUCGGCCCGCGUCUGAUUAGCUAGUUGGUGAGGUAAUGGCUCACCAAGGCGACGAUCAGUAGCUGGUCUGAGAGGAUGAUCAGCCACACUGGGACUGAGACACGGCCCAGACUCCUACGGGAGGCAGCAGUGGGGAAUAUUGGACAAUGGGCGCAAGCCUGAUCCAGCCAUGCCGCGUGUGUGAUGAAGGCCUUAGGGUUGUAAAGCACUUUUGUCCGGGAAGAUAAUGACUGUACCGGAAGAAUAAGCCCCGGCUAACUUCGUG
RNAcentral lists this ribosomal RNA (434 nucleotides) under uncultured bacterium. Its description in RNAcentral is "bacterial SSU rRNA". It matches the Rfam family "Bacterial small subunit ribosomal RNA", at positions 29 to 507 of the family's 1533-position model. The record is from RNAcentral.